Molecule: ribosomal RNA, 254 nt
Filed under: uncultured bacterium
Lineage: Bacteria
Description: partial 16S ribosomal RNA
Rfam family: Bacterial small subunit ribosomal RNA
Source: RNAcentral
UACGUAGGGGGCGAGCGUUGUCCGGAUUUAUUGGGCGUAAAGAGCUCGUAGGCGGUUCGAUAAGUCGGAUGUGAAAUCUCCACGCUCAACGUGGAGGGGCCGUUCGAUACUGUCGUGACUCGAGUCCGGUAGGGGAGUGUGGAAUUCCCGGUGUAGCGGUGAAAUGCGCAGAGAUCGGGAGGAACACCCGUAGCGAAGGCGGCACUCUGGGCCGGUACUGACGCUGAGGAGCGAAAGCGUGGGGAGCAAACAGG